Molecule: ribosomal RNA, 53 nt
Filed under: Colletotrichum truncatum
Lineage: Eukaryota; Fungi; Ascomycota; Sordariomycetes; Glomerellales; Glomerellaceae
Also listed under: 1 other name
Description: partial large subunit ribosomal RNA
Source: RNAcentral
GGUUGACCUCGGAUCAGGUAGGAAUACCCGCUGAACUUAAGCAUAUCAAUAAG